GGCCGCGCCCUGCAGAUUGUCUCUUGUUGCGUAGGUUUUUUUGACCGUCGCUCGUGUCAGCUUCAAAGUCAGAUAGAUUUUUCUCCCAGCAUGUUCUACUUCCGAGGCUGUGGCCGUUGGGUCGCGGCUUCUUUCACCAAGCAGCAAUUUCCGUUGGCACGGUUGAGCAGUGACAGCGCGGCGCCCCGGACUCCGCACUUCGACGUGAUAGUCAUUGGUGGAGGACAUGCCGGGACUGAGGCAGCCACCGCCGCUGCUCGGUGCGGCUCUCGGACUCUGCUCCUCACUCACCGCGUGGACACGAUCGGUCAGAUGUCAUGUAAUCCUUCCUUUGGUGGCAUCGGAAAGGGACAUUUAAUGAGGGAAGUAGAUGCCUUGGAUGGCCUGUGUUCUCGCAUCUGUGACCAGUCUGGUGUACAUUAUAAAGUAUUAAACCGGCGUAAGGGACCAGCUGUGUGGGGUCUGAGAGCUCAGAUUGAUAGGAAACUCUAUAAACAGAACAUGCAGGUAAGAAUAGGGCAUGAGCACAGGAAAGAUUAUGGUGAUUGUUUAAUUACCAUGUUUCAACUGGCAUUUUCUUUUGACAGAAAGAAAUCUUGAAUACACCACUGCUUACUGUUCAGGAGGGAGCUGUAGAAGAUCUUAUUCUUACAGAACCAGAGCCUGAACACACUGGGAAAUGCCGUGUCAGUGGGGUUGUUUUGGUGGAUGGAAGCACAGUAUAUGCAGAGAGUGUGAUUCUGACUACUGGGACAUUUCUGAGAGGCAUGAUUGUAAUUGGAUUGGAGACGCAUCCAGCAGGACGUUUAGGGGAUCAGCCUUCUAUAGGAUUGGCUCAGACACUGGAGAAGUUAGGGUUUGUGGUGGGAAGGUUGAAGACUGGGACUCCACCCCGAAUUGCCAAAGAGUCCAUUAAUUUCAGUAUUCUAAACAAGCAUAUACCGGACAAUCCAUCCGUACCAUUCAGCUUUACCAAUGAGACAGUAUGGAUUAAGCCAGAAGAUCAGCUGCCAUGUUACUUGACUCACACCAACCCUAGAGUGGAUGAGAUUGUCCUUAAGAACCUUCACCUUAAUAGUCAUGUUAAAGAAACGACAAGAGGACCUCGGUAAGGACAAAAUGUCAGUGCUCAGUUACUUUAAGGAAUGAUGUCAAUCCUCUUUUGUUCAUUUCAAGUUUAUUUAAAUGUUCUAUUCUAGAUACUGUCCCUCCAUUGAAUCAAAAGUUUUGCGUUUUCCAAACCGUCUACAUCAGGUUUGGUUGGAACCUGAAGGAAUGGAUUCUGACCUUAUCUACCCACAGGGGUUAUCUAUGACGCUACCAGCUGAGUUACAAGAGAAAAUGAUCACAUGCAUCAGAGGCUUGGAGAAAGCUAAAGUGAUUCAGCCAGGCUACGGUGUUCAGUAUGAUUACUUAGAUCCCCGUCAGAUCACUCCUUCCCUGGAGACUCAUUUGGUUCAACGACUCUUCUUUGCUGGACAGAUCAAUGGCACCACUGGUUAUGAGGAAGCUGCAGCUCAAGGUGUGAUAGCUGGAAUCAACGCCAGUCUUCGGGUCAGUCGCAAGCCUCCCUUUGUGGUUAGCCGAACAGAAGGUUACAUAGGAGUCUUGAUUGAUGACCUCACUACUCUGGGCACCAGUGAACCAUACCGCAUGUUUACCAGCCGAGUAGAGUUCCGUUUGUCACUGCGCCCUGAUAAUGCUGACAGCCGGCUCACACUGCGAGGGUAUAAAGACGCUGGCUGUGUGUCCCAACAACGAUAUGAAAGAGCUUGUUGGAUGAAGUCUUCUUUAGAAGAAGGCAUUUCUGUGUUGAAAUCUAUUGAGUUUUUGAGCUCUAAAUGGAAAAAAUUAAUCCCAGAGGCUUCUAUAAGUACUAGUAGAAGUCUGCCUGUCAGAGCUCUCGAUGUUCUGAAGUAUGAGGAAGUUGACAUGGAUUCAUUAGCCAAGGCUGUUCCAGAGCCCUUGAAGAAGUAUACUAAAUGUAGAGAGCUGGCUGAAAGACUGAAAAUAGAAGCCACUUAUGAAUCAGUGUUGUUCCAUCAACUACAAGAAAUAAAGGGAGUUCAGCAAGAUGAAGCUCUCCAACUGCCAAAAGACCUAGAUUAUUUGACUAUCAGGGAUGUGUCUUUGUCCCAUGAAGUUCGAGAGAAACUACAUUUUAGUCGUCCACAGACGAUCGGGGCUGCUAGUCGCAUACCCGGAGUAACACCUGCUGCCAUCAUCAAUCUGCUGAGAUUUGUGAAGACCACUCAACAAAGACAGGCGGCUAUGAAUGAAUCAUCCAAGACUGAUCAAUACUUAUGUGAUGCAGACAGACUUCAAGAGAGAGAGUUAUAGCUUUCAAUUCAUAAAAGAUUUUUAAAGAGCAUAUAAAUAAUUUGAUCAAUACAACAGUAUAGAUAAAAGAAUUAUUUAGCACAUGUUAAAAUAGCUUUAUUAGGUUACUGUGGGUUUGCCAUUAAUUUCUGAGUGGGACAGAAAUUAUAAUUGUGCUUUUUCGUGUAUAUGAAAAAACUAGUCGUAAACAAUUUGUACUCUUUCUUUAAGGAGCUGUAAUACAAAUAACUUUGUGCAGUGUUCAUCAAAGAGAGAGACAGUGAACCUAAAACUGAACCUGGAAUAAAACUCAACAUGCAGAUUUGCCUACUCAUAGGGACUUUGCCUAUUAAGUCUACCAAAUUAAAAGUCUUAUCAUUCA
This 2701-nucleotide small RNA is filed under the name Pan troglodytes (chimpanzee). RNAcentral's name for it is "retained intron". The record is from RNAcentral. Lineage: Eukaryota; Metazoa; Chordata; Mammalia; Primates; Hominidae.